GGAGAGAUAUACGAGAGUUUUCACUCCAAACCCUUAUGUGAACCUACCUAUCGUUGCUUCGGCGGACUCGCCCCAGCCGGACGCGGACUGGACCAGCGGCCGCCGGGGACCAUCAAACUCUUGUAUUAUCAGCAUCUUCUGAAUACGCCGCAAGGCAAAACAAAUAAAUUAAAACUUUCAACAACGGAUCUCUUGGCUCUGGCAUCGAUGAAGAACGCAGCGAAAUGCGAUAAGUAAUGUGAAUUGCAGAAUCCAGUGAAUCAUCGAAUCUUUGAACGCACAUUGCGCCCGCCAGCAUUCUGGCGGGCAUGCCUGUUCGAGCGUCAUUUCAACCCUCGACCUCCCUUUGGGGAAGUCGGCGUUGGGGACCGGCAGCACACCGCCGGCCCUGAAAUGGAGUGGCGGCCCGUCCGCGGCGACCUCUGCGUAGUAAACCAACUCGCACCGGAACCCCGACGUGGCCACGCCGUAAAACACCCAACUUCUGAACGUUGACCUCGAAUCAGGUAGGACUACCCGCUGAACUUAAGCAUAUAUUAAGCGGAGGA
RNAcentral lists this ribosomal RNA (548 nucleotides) under Beauveria bassiana. RNAcentral describes it as "eukaryotic LSU rRNA". The stretch from base 173 to 326 matches the Rfam family "5.8S ribosomal RNA". Lineage: Eukaryota; Fungi; Ascomycota; Sordariomycetes; Hypocreales; Cordycipitaceae. The record is from RNAcentral.